Molecule: ribosomal RNA, 274 nt
Filed under: uncultured bacterium
Lineage: Bacteria
Description: partial 16S ribosomal RNA
Rfam family: Bacterial small subunit ribosomal RNA
Source: RNAcentral
AUACGGAGGGUCCGAGCGUUAUCCGGAAUUAUUGGGUUUAAAGGGUCCGUAGGCGGGCGAUUAAGUCAGUGGUGAAAGUCUGCAGCUCAACUGUAGAAUUGCCUUUGAUACUGAUCGUCUUGAGUUAUCGUGAAGUUGCCGGAAUAUGUAGUGUAGCGGUGAAAUGCAUAGAUAUUACAUAGAACACCGAUUGCGAAGGCAGGUGACUAACUGUAUACUGACGCUGAUGGACGAAAGCGUGGGGAGCGAACAGGAUUAGAUACCCUAGUAGUCC